UACGGGGGGGGCAAGCGUUGUUCGGAAUUACUGGGCGUAAAGGGCGCGUAGGCGGCCUGUUAAGUCAGACGUGAAAUCCCUCGGCUUAACCGGGGAACUGCGUCUGAUACUGGAUGGCUGGAGUUUGGGAGAGGGAUGCGGAAUUCCAGGUGUAGCAGUGAAAUGCGUAGAUAUCGUAAGGAACGCCAGUGGCGAAAGCGAAUCUCUGGGCAGCAACUGACGCUGAGGCACGAAGGCCAGGGGAGCAAACGGG
This 253-nucleotide ribosomal RNA is filed under the name uncultured bacterium. RNAcentral's name for it is "partial 16S ribosomal RNA". It matches the Rfam family "Bacterial small subunit ribosomal RNA", at positions 524 to 776 of the family's 1533-position model. The record is from RNAcentral.